This is an RNA transcript of Perca fluviatilis (European perch), 6246 nucleotides long. It is a transcript of the gene named PTPRF interacting protein alpha 2, with no coding region annotated. Lineage: Eukaryota; Metazoa; Chordata; Actinopteri; Perciformes; Percidae. The record is from RefSeq and is a predicted model, not a curated record. The transcript has 34 exons.
GCUUAUCACAGCAGAAUUUGUAACAUGCCGUAAUUUCUUAACCGGUGUGUGAGUGUGUGUGUGUAAGUGUGUGUGUGUAGCCCCGUAAAUCAAAUGUCAUUACCCAACGCGGCUAAUUUGGCGAUCAUUCCUGCUCUUUUGCUUUUUGACAAUGCCAGCGGCGGGGACCAGCCGCACCUUUACGAUCGGAUCCUCGCCGUCGCUGCUUGCUGGCACUGAAGAAGCCUGCUAGGGUUGCCCGCUUGAUGCUAUAGCUCGCAGAGACUGCAGUUGUCGUUGAUCCGCUGCCAGAGUCUCCACUGGAAAGUAAAGGAAUAAAUACGCCAAGAUGAUGUGCGAGGUGAUGCCCACCAUCAGCGAGGACACGGCGCUGAACCAGCGCGGCUCUCAGAGCAGUUCCUCGGACCCGGACUCCCACUUUGAGCAGCUGAUGGUCAACAUGCUGGACGAGAGGGACCGGCUGCUGGACACGCUGAGGGAGACCCAGGAGAGCCUCGGCCUGGCCCAGCAGCACCUUCAGGAUGUCAUCUACGACCGCGACUCUCUGCAGCGCCAGCUCACCUCCGCCCUGCCACAGGAGUUUGCUGCGCUGACCAAGGAGCUGAACGCCUGCAGGGAGCAGCUGCUGGAGAAGGAGGAGGAGAUCUCUGAGCUCAAAGCCGAGAGGAACAACACCAGGCUACUGCUGGAGCAUCUGGAGUGCCUGGUGUCAAGACACGAGCGGUCUCUUCGCAUGACGGUGGUCAAGCGGCAGGCUCAGUCUCCCUCAGGAGUCUCCAGUGAAGUCGAGGUCCUCAAAGCACUCAAGUCCUUGUUCGAACACCAUAAAGCCCUAGAUGAGAAGGUAAGAGAGAGACUACGGGUGUCACUCGAGAGGGUGUCUGCCUUGGAGGAGGAGCUCACAGCAGCCAAUCAGGAGAUUGUGGCCUUACGGGAACAAAAUGCUCACAUUCAGAGAAAAGUGGCUUCCGGGGACGGAGGAGAGGACAUACUGGAGGGCAGUGAAGCUCAACAGAAGGUCCAUGGCAAGCGCCUGUCCAACGGCUCUCUGGAGUCGGCCCACGAGGCGAGCCAGGUGGUGGAGCUGCAGGACCUGCUGGAGAAGCAGAACUACGAGCUGGCCCAGAUGAAGGAGCGCAUGUCCUCCCUCUCCUCCCGGGUCUCCGAGGUGGAGCAGGAGCUGGAGACAGCCCGGAAGGACCUCAUCAAGUCGGAGGAGAUGAACAACAAGUACCAGAGGGACUUCAAAGAGGCCAUGUGUCAGAAAGAGGACAUGGAGGAGCGGAUCGUAACAUUGGAAAAACGCUACCUGAGCGCCCAACGAGAGUCCACCUCGGUGCACGACAUCAAUGACAAACUGGAGAACGAGUUGGCCAAUAAGGAGGCGUUCCUCAGACAGAUGGAGGAGAAGAACAGGCAGCUACAGGAGAGGCUGGAGCUUGCAGAGCAGAAGCUCCAGCAGACCAUGAGGAAGGCGGAGACGCUGCCGGAGGUAGAAGCUGAACUGGCCCAGAGGAUAGCAGCCCUCACCAAGGCGGAAGAGCGUCACGGGAGCAUUGAGGAGCGAAUGAGGCACUUGGAAUGCCAGCUGGAGGAGAAGAACCAGGAGCUGCUACGGGCUCGUCAGAGAGAAAAGAUGAAUGAGGAGCACAACAAGAGACUGUCGGACACGGUGGACAGACUCCUCACAGAGUCCAACGAGCGUCUACAGCUCCACCUGAAGGAGAGAAUGGCAGCUCUAGAAGAGAAGAAUUUGUUAAUCCAAGAUUCGGAAGGUUACAGAAAACAGUACGAAGAUUCAAUCCAUGAAAAAACACAUCUGGCAGAGGAGAUUGAGAAACUGAGAUCAGAGCUGGACCAAUUCAGAUUGAGGGCAGGCUCCCUCACAGAACCCACCCUGUCACGGUCUCAUCUGGACACAUCAGCUGAGCUCCGAUUCUCGUUGGGAUCUCUGGCUGAAACCCAGUCGGACCACUACCGCUCAGCCAAAGUCAUCCGGCGGCCAAGGAGAGGUCGUAUGGGUCUGCGUGAAACCAAGGCUAAGUCACUGGGGGAACACGAAUGGCGCUCACAGCAACUCGGGGUUCUGGGAGGCCAUCACUUUGAGAGCGACACGGAGAUGUCCGACAUCGAUGAUGAUGACAGGGAAACGAUGUUCAGCUCCAUGGACAUGCUCUCACCCAGCGGCCACUCCGAUGCACAAACUCUGGCCAUGAUGCUGCAGGAGCAGCUGGACGCAAUCAACAAGGAGAUUCGGCUGAUCCAGGAGGAGAAGGAGUCGACGGAGCUGAGGGCGGAGGAGAUUGAAAACCGGGUGGCCAGCGUCAGCCUCGAGGGCCUCAACCUGGCUCGAAUGCACCACCACGGAGCCUCCAUCACUGCCUCAGCCACCGCCUCCUCCUUGGCCUCCUCCUCCCCGCCCAGCGGACACUCCACCCCCAAACUCGAUCCUCGAAGCCCCGCCCGUGAUAUGGAACGCAUGGGGGUCAUGACACUGCCCAGUGAUCUGAGGAAACACAGGAGAAAGAUUGCAGCGGUGGACGAGGACGGCCGCGAGGACAAGGCCACCAUCAAGUGCGAGACAUCCCCCCCGCCAACGCCGCGCACUGUCCGAAUGACACACACACUGCCAGCCUCCUCGCACAAUGACGCACGAGGGAUCGUGUCCUCUCUGGAGGCUGAGGCCAGUGCACUGAGUAGUGUAGCCAGCAGCCAAGACUCCCUCCACAAGCAGCCGAAGAAAAAGGGCAUCAAAUCCUCUAUCGGACGGCUUUUUGGCAAGAAGGAGAAGGGCAGAAUGGCACAUCUGGCACACAGACAUGUCAUGGUAGAUCCACAAGCGACCAUGAUGGACCCAGACAUGGCAGGCCAGGACAUGGGGGUGGGCAAGCUGGGAACUCAGGCUGAGAAGGACCGCAGGUUGAAAAAGAACGGACACGAGCUAUUGGAGGAGGCCAGGAGAAAGGGUUUACCUUUCGCCCAAUGGGAUGGCCCUACAGUUGUAGCCUGGCUGGAGCUGUGGUUGGGAAUGCCGGCCUGGUACGUGGCGGCGUGUCGCGCCAACGUGAAGAGCGGAGCCAUCAUGUCGGCCCUCUCUGACACCGAGAUCCAGAGGGAGAUCGGUAUCAGUAACCCUCUGCACCGCCUCAAACUUCGCCUGGCCAUCCAGGAAAUGGUCUCCCUCACCAGCCCCUCUGCACCGCCCACCUCCAGAACCCCUUCAGGCAAUGUAUGGCUGACCCAUGAGGAGAUGGAGACCAUGGCAGCCCCUUCCAAAACGAAGUCCGAUUCAGAAGAGGGCAGCUGGGCACAGACUCUAGCUUAUGGCGACAUGAACCAUGAGUGGAUAGGGAACGAGUGGCUGCCCAGUCUAGGACUACCUCAGUACCGCAGCUACUUCAUGGAGUGCCUGGUGGACGCGCGCAUGCUGGACCACCUAACCAAGAAGGACCUUAGGGUGCAUCUCAAAAUGGUGGACAGCUUCCACAGAACAAGUUUACAGUAUGGAAUCAUGGGUCUGAAGAAGCUCAACUAUGACAGGAAGGAACUGGAGAGACGCAGGGAGCAUAGCCAGCAUGAAAUGAGAGAUGUACUGGUGUGGAGUAAUGAGCGAGUCAUCCGCUGGGUGCAGAGCAUAGGCCUGAGAGACUACGCCAACAUCCUGCUAGAGAGCGGUGUGCAUGGAGCUCUGGUCGCCUUGGAUGACAACUUUGACUAUAGCAGUUUGGCGCUACUCCUCCAGAUCCCCAACCAAAACACUCAGGCACGUCAGAUUCUGGAGCGAGAGUACAAUAAUAUGCUGGCGCUGGGCACCGACAGGAGACUGGAUGAGUGUGAAGACAAAGACUUCCGAGGUCCAUCGUGGAGGAGGCAGUUCCCGCCCAGAGACGUUCACGGUAUAAGUAUGAUGCCCGGAUCAGCGGAGACGCUCCCUGCUGGAUUCCGUCUCACCGCCACGUCUGGUCACUCCCGAAGACUGCCCCCUGAGGUCCUCUAUGAGGCGCUGGAUGACAGUCCUGACGACAUGUAUUUGGAUUGGUUUCAAGUUGGACCGUCUGCAGUGCAGCGGCUGGACAGCUCCACGGUGAGAACCUAUUCCUGCUGAGAGGAGGAAGAGAGGGACCUUAAACUGUACGCUUGACAACCUGAUGCAAAUGCAAGCGGCAAAGAGAACACUGAAUUCUGCUCUGGAUGCAUUGUUUAGCACGAAAAGCCCAGGAAGACAGCUGACCGCUAUGUACAAAAUUACUUCCUCAUUCUCAACUCCCUUUAUAACAGCACCCUGCAGGCUGUUUCUAAGGAUUUCAUCAGCACUCCCACACAGCAAAAGAAAAGAAGACAGAAUACAGUGCAAAGAUCAGUGAGAGCAAAGGGUUCAAUUCUGUAUAUGUGCACAGGAAACAAAAACUGAUGGUAUGACUAUUUUCUGCACACAGAAUAUCUCACCUUUAGCUGCUGAAAGUAUUCAUCUUUUUUCCACUGCUUUAAGCUAUCAACACCACAAACGAAUACAGCGCACGAUUUGCAUAGAGGCACCCAGAAAAAAACACCUUUGCGACUUUAUCACUUCCUCCAUUUCAGACUCUGCUUUUUAAGAUUCUUUGCAAAACAUUCACACAGAAGAUACUUGGAUAUUUAGAAAAGCACAGCUCCUAAGGACUGAACUUUACAAUCACUGAGUAUUUCUGUAAAUAUGUGAUCCAUCUUGUUUAGAGAAUGCUGAAAAAUGAAGGUCAAAAGUUCACAUUUCAUACUGCUCUAAAGAACUAAAUUAGCAGUAUAUAUGGUUAACGAUUACUUUGCUGUUUCCAAAGUCACCUUCCAAGCUGCAACCAGUAUGGCACAAAUUUGACCGAUUCCAAUUACAUUCUUGGCAUGUUAUAAUUUAGGUUUUUCCAUAUUUUCUUUAGAAACCUUGUCAACUUUACAGUACCCCUAUUGAAAACUUCUCAUUCUGCUUCCCUUCAGGUACAGUUCUGAAUGGAGAUUAACUAGCGGAGCUGGUGGACAGGCCAACCGGCCGAGGAACAAACCAUUCUGACGACACGCACUGCCAAGAAGCCCUCCUCUCCUCUCUGACCCCCUUCCCCGACCUACUUCUCCUCCUUAUGUGGGCACCAGAUGCCGGUGCUAAACUGUCCUGCAGGCUGCCCCGUUGUCAGCAUAACGUACUGUGUAUUUCUUCUACAGGAGAUGUGUGGGUUAUCUGUAAAUAAAUGCCAUUUUUUAAAUAUAAAUAUAUAUACACACACACAUGUAUAAAAAAAAAAAAGAUAUUCAGAGUUUGUGCAAAAAACAUCCCUGCCACCUCAUUUAGUGGACCAUAGAUUAAUAUAUGCUGCUCUUAAAACUGUCUCCAUAUUACCCUGUCCUCUCUAGAUCAUUUUGUACAUAUGGUUUUAUUUUUUCAUUGUGCUAAUGAUGACGAUGAACCUGUGCUGCACCAUCAAGAGAGAAAGACACUGGAUGUGGUGUGAAAACCUGCCCUCUAGUGGUGACAAAAAACACUCUGAGCCCCAUUUCUGGCACCAACAAACUUCCUUUCUUAUGGACUCGCUGUCCUAAAGGAGCAUUUUAAGAGGACAUGUCAAUGCACUGGAAUGACAUGACAAGCACUUUGAUACAACCGCAUCAACUCAACAGACUAUUUAGUAGCCAAGGACAAAACAAGAGGCGCCAUUGCUCUCCGAAGUUGCACAAAAACCUCUUCUCAGAGAACAAAAAAGCAGAACGUCAUUCAUAGAAGCUGUCACUUGUUGUACUGUAUGUUUUGUCAGGCGAUACAUUAACACAAAGGACAACUACACACUCAGCCAAGCUGGCCUUCUCCCCCACCCCUCAGACACUACUUUAACAAAACAAAAGGAAAUAACUAAAAGACAGACUGCUUUAGCUCAUAGUGUGCGUAGAGUGUAUGUGACCAUGUUGAAGUGAGGUGACAUUUAAUGACAAACCUGUUGCUUGCUGUGACUUACAUGAGUGUAACUGUUAACUCUUUGUUUAUGUCAGCGUUUCCAGGGUAACCUAUUGUACAGCCCUGUUAUCUGUCUUUUACUUAUUUCUGAUGGACGACUCAAGUCUUACCCUUUUUAAUUUGUUUUUACAUCUUCAAUUUGCACGAACAAUGAAUCAUUUUAUUUUGUGUCCAUUUUUUUAUUUAUUACUUCUUGUACUUCGGUCAAAACUAAGUGGUGAGCAAGCAAAUUUUCAUUGUCAAUAAAAAAAAAGAAAACUACUGUCAGUAAA